This 76-nucleotide transfer RNA is filed under the name Pseudomonadales bacterium. RNAcentral's name for it is "tRNA-Glu". It matches the Rfam family "tRNA". From Rfam's summary of the family: Transfer RNA (tRNA) molecules are approximately 80 nucleotides in length. Their secondary structure includes four short double-helical elements and three loops (D, anti-codon, and T loops). Lineage: Bacteria; Pseudomonadati; Pseudomonadota; Gammaproteobacteria; Pseudomonadales. RNAcentral also lists the same sequence under 6 other names. The record is from RNAcentral.
GUCCCCAUCGUCUAGAGGCCUAGGACACCUGGUUUUCAUCCAGGCAACAGGGGUUCGACUCCCCUUGGGGACGCCA